UAAGCUCCAAGCCUCGGGGUCUAGGAGGAGAGAAGGGAGCAGGAAUCCUCCUUCCGAAUGCCAACCCCGGGAGGGCAGGGCUGGAUCUUCCCUGGCGGCUGCUCCACCUCCAGCACGGAGAACAUAGCCCGGCACACAAUAAGGAGACUGAGACUGAGAGAAGUAAAGGUUCAUGCCGGAGGAGUUGAGGGUAAACCCAGGGUAAACCUGUGCCUUCCUGCUUACCCUCCCACCAAGCUGAAAGGGGCCUCAUGCACAGAGAAUGAAAAAAG
Pan troglodytes (chimpanzee) is the source of this 272-nucleotide long non-coding RNA. RefSeq lists it as uncharacterized. The transcript has 3 exons. The record is from RefSeq and is a predicted model, not a curated record. NCBI's taxonomy places the organism in Eukaryota, Metazoa, Chordata, Mammalia, Primates, Hominidae.